This 5606-nucleotide unclassified non-coding RNA is filed under the name Neodiprion pinetum (white pine sawfly). RNAcentral describes it as "kinase D-interacting substrate of 220 kDa, transcript variant X13". Lineage: Eukaryota; Metazoa; Arthropoda; Insecta; Hymenoptera; Diprionidae. The record is from RNAcentral.
CUACUGUUGUGCUGGUGUAUGAGCGAGGAUUGUCGAAGAAUCAAAAGGCGAUCUGACCGCUAGGAAUAUCGGAGAUAUGUCAGAGAGCCUCGAAGAUCCGCUUGUCGACGAUCAUCAGUCGUCAAAACCGGGGGAAAAUGAAGACUCGACUCCGGAAGUUGCGGCCGAGUCCAAAGUCAGAGAGAAAAGUAGUUCUCCGGGAUUUUGCUCCAGCGUCGUUGCAUUGAACACACUGAAAGCUCAGCCCAGCUUUCCGACCUCAAAUUCCGACACCAUGAUUCGUUACGUUGGAGAUGGUGUCGGUGGUGUUGGUACCGAAGGGCUGGCUAGACGUCAUUCCUCGAAUGUCGUGGAUGGUACGACGAAGCUGAGUGACCGAGAGGGAAUCCUGAAUAAUCAAGGUUCCGUAGCUACGAACGUGAGGAGGAAACGUCACUCUUUUCUUCAUCUACAUUUGCCGGAACAUCAAGGAUGGUCGGCGAGCAACCUCGCCGGCGGUAAUCAACACCAUCACACAUUCGCUUCUCAUCUGUCUCACUUCCACGUGCCUACCCUGACGUUCACCGCACCAGCGGCCGAUGGAACUGGUCGGAAGUUCAGCUUUGGCAUCCGGAGACACUCGCACACGACGCUUCACCGUUCGGACUCGAUGGUUUCGCUCUGUUACCGAUCCAUCGUCAAUUUCAUUACUGACGACAAUCUCUUGGGCUUGCAAAACUUUCUUGAGAACAAGCGGGUCCAGGUUGACGAUCGCGACGAAAAUGGAAGUACGGCACUUAUUUAUGCCGCAUCUAAAGGAAAAAUACACUUUGUUCGGGAAUUGAUCAACCAUGGAGCGGACGUCAAUGUCGAAGACGGGGACGAUUGGACAGCGUUAUUGUGCGCAGCCAAAGAAGGAUACACAGAUGUAUGCCUCGAGCUGCUUGAACAUGGUGCCCAAUUGGAGCAUCGUGAUAUGGGAGGAUGGUCAGCACUCAUGUGGGCUACGUACAAAGGCAGAUCCGAAACGGUAUCACUGCUGUUAUCUCGAGGAGCAGACGUCAAUGCUCACGGCAAUUAUCACAUAUCCUCUUUGUUGUGGGCUGCGGGUCGAGGAUACGCAGAUAUUCUCAAAGACUUGAUAGCCCAUGGUGCUAAAGUCAACGUCGGUGACAAGUAUGGGACAUCGGCCUUGGUUUGGUCAUGUCGUAAGGGGAACAUAGAGAUUGUUGACGCGUUAUUGAAGGCCGGAGCAAACGUUGACACUGCUGGCAUGUAUUCGUGGACAGCUUUGCUAGUCGCUACUUUGGGAAAUCACGUCGACGUUGUCAUGCUACUUUUGGAGUAUAAACCGAACGUCAACGCGUUGGACAAAGACGGGUGCACAGCUCUGGCUAUUGCAUGCAGAGAGGGACAUCAUGAAAUAGCCAAUGCUCUUGUAAUCGCCGGGGCGUAUAUCAACAUACAAGACAGAGCCGGUGACACCAAUUUAAUUCACGCUGUUAAGGGAGGUCACAGGGGUGUGGUUGAAACUCUUAUAAAGAAAUACGCCGACGUUGAUAUAGCUGGAAAGGAUAAAAAAACGGCGAUUUACAUCGCUGUUGAAAAGGGAAAUGUUGCGAUGGUCAAGUUGUUGUUGACAGCCAAUCCUGAUCUGGAGAUUCCAACGAAGGAUGGCGACACUCCGCUACUUCGUGCUGUGAGGUCGCGUAACGCCGAAAUUGUUCAACUUCUACUCGACAAGAAAGCAAAGGUUUCGGCGGCCGACAAAAAGGGUGAUACCGUGCUUCACAUCGCCAUGCGGGCCAGGUCGAAAGCUAUCGUUGAAAUAUUAUUACGGAAUCCUAAGAAUAGCCAGCUACUCUACCGGCCAAAUCGACAGGGAGAGACACCCUACAAUAUAGAUAUCAAUCAUCCGAAGACGAUACUGGGACAAAUAUUUGGUGCUAGACGAUUGAACACUAAUGAGGACAAUGAAAAUAUGCUUGGAUAUGAUCUGUACAGUAGCGCGUUAGCCGACAUUCUCAGUGAACCUUCACUCUCCACACCGAUUACUGUCGGUCUCUAUGCAAAAUGGGGCUCUGGGAAAUCAUUUUUACUCAACAAGCUUAGAGAGGAGAUGAAAAAUUUUGCACGACAAUGGAUGGAUCCAGUAUUCCAGUUUUCGUCAUUACUGUUCCUUGUCGUUGUUCACAUAUCUUUACUAAUCGGAGUGAUACUGGGCCUUUCCCUUCAAUCCUGGAUCAUUGGACUUGCCAUUGGCGUUACUUUUAUCGUUGUACUCUACGUGUUCCUGCUUCUUGUUUGGUACGCCAAUCAAAGAUACGACUGGUACUGGCCGUACAAUUUCAACGUAGCUCUCACCAGAAAAUUGAACAACUUGAAGCUACUGCUUCAAGUUAUGUUUUGCCAUCCACCCGGUGCUCAAGUUGGCGAUUCUCCCAGUGCUCAGCCUACCAAAUUUUACUUCACCGAUCAAACUCGCGUUGGCACAACUUCGGCGGGUGAAAAUGCGGUUGUACAAAUGGUCGGAUCCUUGUAUGACUCGAUCGAAAAUGAUUACGGGUCGCUAGUUACCAGACUUUAUAGAGCAUUCAGACCAAAAAUGGCAAAAUCGACAUCGUCCUGGAAAUGGAGACACGUUUGUUGCUUGCCCUAUAUUGUGAUAUUCGAAAUUUGCUUCGGCUCGCUUCUGGUCGGAGUCUCGAUACUUACCGUCUACCUUAUCGAGUUCAAGAAUUCUGACCGUGUUAUCGAACAAGUAACCGCUCAUGCGAUUCUGUUAACAGUUGGGCUGCUGCUUUCCGUUGGCAUUAUAGCCAACUUGUAUACAUGGAGCAGGAUGCUGCACGCCUUGGUAUUUUCUCAAAGAAGGCAUUUACAACGGAGUAUUUCAAAGCUGGAAACGUUGAAAAGCGAAGGAUUUAUACAGACUUUACGGUCGGAGGUCAAUUUAAUGACUGAAAUGGUGAAAUGUUUGGAUAGAUUUACUUCACAACAGAGUCGGCUAGUGGUUGUUGUCGAUGGGUUGGACAGUUGCGAACAAGACAAAGUACUCCUAGUCCUCGAUGCUAUUCAAGCGUUAUUCAGCGACAAUCACUGCCCGUUUAUCGUCAUCUUAGCCAUUGAUCCUCACGUCAUUGCCAAGGCGGUGGAAGUGAAUAGCAGGAGACUAUUUACAGAAUCCAAUAUUGGCGGUCACGACUACCUUCGCAACAUGGUUCACCUACCGUUUUACCUUCAAAAUAGUGGCUUACGAAAGCUGAAAGUGGCCCAACAGACGGCCCAGUAUCACAAAAAGAGUGCUUGGACAGAAGCAGAGGACAGUAUUAACUAUGCAACAACAAGCGCCAUUCAUCACUCGGUCUCAAACAGGAGACUCAGCACCGAAUCGGGCGUUAUGAAUAGCACAGAAAAAUUGAAACCUCCGAGCAGAAAGAACAGCAGGAAACUCAGGCUGAGCGAAUCUGUAGCUAGCAGUAUUGGCAGCAACUUGAAUAGACUGGGCGGCGCUCAUGAUUUGAAUAAAAUGUUGCUCACCGAUGAUUACUUUAGCGAUGUAAAUCCUCGUAGUAUGAGACGACUUAUGAACGUAGUAUACGUUACAGGAAGACUGCUGAAAGCAUUCCAAAUAGAUUUUAAUUGGUAUCAUCUGGCCAGUUGGAUCAACAUCACAGAACAGUGGCCUUUUAGAACUUCUUGGAUGAUCCUACAUUAUGAUCUCUAUGAAGAAACGCUUGACGAUUCCACAUCCCUCAAAGCUCUGUACGAUAAAGUGCGACCUCAGAUACCGGUACUAAAAGACGUUCAACCCCUAUUGGAGAUGGAUAGAGACGAGCGAAAACUCGAUGUAUUUCUUACUUUUCAUCGAUCUAGUCUUUUGAUAUCAGAUAUGAAAAUAUUCCUUCCGUUUACGAUAAAUCUCGAUCCAUAUAUAAAGAAAAAGAUUAAAGAAGAGCAGCAGGUAAUCGACGAGGAGAGUAUGACUUCUGGUAUGUACAAACCAGCCGCGCCAUGGAACAAUCACGUCAAUCAUCAGGAACACUGGCCACCCAGUAAAAGCGUGUUAACUAAUCGCCAACACAGAUCAUCCAGAGGAAACAAUGAACAACGUCCGUUACAGCCAGGCUGGGUUGCACAAUCGGCAAUGGAUUGGCAGCCUCCACCAUGGGUACAUUUGCCACCUAUGGAACCGGCGCCUAGGCCAAUAUCUGCAAUCACUAGUCUUCCGCCAGACAUUUUGGAAAUGAAAUUAUCGAAUCUCUCGGUUAAUGGAGUUUGCGAUCUCCUUGGCAAAGUAGAAGAACUAAGUCCAGCCCAAGCAGCCCGUUACAAAAAUGUCAUCAGGGAAAAUAAUAUAAGUGGCCGAGUACUACUUCACUGUGAUCUACAAGAGCUGAAAAAAGUACUUAAAAUGGGAUUCGGAGAUUGGGAACUUUUCCGUAUCGUUAUUGCGUCUCUUAGGGAAGCGGAACUUUCAUCUUUUACAACUCAUGAAGAAGGUCCUCGCAGCGUUCGAUUUACCGUAGGGUCAGAGCAAAUCACACGCAAAGAACCAACGCCGCAAAAUGUUUCAUCGCGACCUGUUGUUGUGGAAAAAGAUAAGUCUACAUCACGAACCGAUGGCUCUUCUAGACGAGAUCCGAGCAAGCAAUCUGUAAUGGAAAAACAGUAUCAGGUAACCCUUGAGGAACAAAUGAUCUGCGGAGCCCUGCAGACGUUGAAUGAGGAGGCGUGCGAAGAUGUGCUAGAUGUACCUUCGCCAGCAACAGCUCCAACCGACUCACUUCCAGAGAGAAUCAUGGAGAUACGAAUGAUUCUGGGACUUUUCCUGAUGAUCACUGCGGCGUCGGGAUGGAACGUUACGUUUGAAUCGCAGACGGUGACGGUUCACAUGCACGAGACACUUUCCGUGGCAUUCACCGCCAACGUAACAGAGGCCGACGUUGCAAACGGGACCGUCGUCGUCUCGACGACGAGAGAAUCCGUAGCAAGCGUUGAUGAUUUGCCGGUGUUGGAUUCGAGCACGGUGAACGAUUUGGUUUGGAGUAGCAACCUUGUCGUGUCCGGUAACUUUCUCGGCAAUGCCGACAUCCUUCUGUCCAUCGUAUCUCCCGACCAGGAGAACAAGACCUCGGACGCCCUGUCGGUGAUCGUUAUUCGAGAAGAGCGUAUCAUCGAUACACUUUUCACAGUAUUCGUUGCCGUCAUGGUCUCAAUAAUGUACAUCAACUUUGGCGCUGCCAUGGACUGGCCACUCUGCAAACGUACCUUGAAGCGACCGAUCGGUCCGACGAUCGGGUUCGUUUGCCAGUUUGUCUGGAUGCCGCUGUCCUGUUUCCAGACGAUCCUGAACUGCGGUUGGGGAUGUUUUUCGCCGGGGUGAGUCCUGCCGGAGGUGCAUCUAAUAUUUGGACAGUAAUUUUGGGCGGCAAUCUCAAUUUAUCUGUAACAAUGACCACCAUCAGUACAUUGGCAGCGUUUGGCAUGAUGCCGCUGUGGAUCUUCACCCUUGGGAGUACGAUUUUCAACAGUGCAAACCUCGGGGUUCCGUACUCGAGGAUAGCAAUGUUCGCAGUUGGUCUUGUCAUUCCAUUGGGUAUCGGAUUCCUGAUUCAGAAAAAACU